UCACUCUGCGCACGCGCACACCCAGCGCCGCCCCGCCCUCCCCCGCCUCCCCGGGCGCGAGAGGGCCAGCGUCCGGACGUCUGUAGGUGUAGGCGGGAGCGGAGGCUGCCGCUCGGGAGAAAAACGAAAUGGGAGGAGAGGGGUUUUCUGUGCUGGACGCUUUCGGAAGCCCAAAGACAGCAGGCCUGUAAUGAACGGGGUUUGUCGAGUCACCCAGGGCAGACCCAGGAACUAAGCGCACAGCUGUUGACUUACACGGCUGAACCUUCACAGUUCUUUACCUUCUUCCAGGAGUAGCAGAAAAUGAACAUAGCUCAGGGAUUGGUGUCGUUCGAAGACGUGACUGUGGAGUUCACCCAGGAGGAGUGGCGGCAGAUGGACUCCACACAGAGGGCCCUGUACAAAGAUGUGAUGCUGGAGAACUACGGCCACCUGGUCUCCAUGGGAUACUGCAGUACUAAACCCCGGGUGAUUUUCAAGUUGGAGCAAGGAGAAGAGCCCUGGUCCUUAGAGGAAGAAUUCCUAAACCAGAGGUACCCAGGCUAUUACAAAGUUGAUGUGCACCUUGAGGGGAACCGGGAAAAAGAAGAGAAACCUCUGUGGCAAGUAAUAUUCAUGGAUAACAAAAGAUUGAGUAAGGAAGUACAGAAAGUUUUAGAAAAACCAUUUAAUCUGGAUUCAACUCCAGAUUUUUCAGGAUCAAUGCCCUGUAAAUGUGACUCACAUAGAGUGAAUUUGCCAGUUGUUUCUGAAUUAAUUAUUAAUGAUAGAAAGUAUUCAAGAAAGAAGGCUGAUUACACGAAUGUAUGUGAAAAGUUGCAGCUUGAGAUUAAGCGUCAGAAAACUCCUACUGGAGAGAAGUCUUAUGAAUGUAAUAAAAAUGUGAACGGUCUCAGUUACAAGAAAGAUCAUCAGAAAUUUCAAACUCUGGCACAAUCUUUUGAGUAUAAUGAGUUUGGGAAAGUCUUACAUGAUAAAACCGUCUGCGUUACAGCGACAAGUUCUCUAACAGGAGAAGAUUCCUGUAAGGACUUUGAAUUUAAGAAAAACUGUGAUAAAGCAACUGUAUUUAACCACGUGAGAAAUGGCACAAGGGAAGAAUGCUUUGAUCUUGAUGAAGUUGGGAAAUCCUGUGAUGAUAGGAAUACUUUAUUGGAGUACAAAAAAAUUCACGUGGCUAUGACACACUGUGAAUGUCAUGAAAGUGGGAGUAACUUCAUCAGGAAUUCACCCCUUGUUCAACCUCAGAGAACUAUUACAGGACAGGGUGCCUUGGAAAGCAGUAAAUGUGAAGAAAACUUGAGCCAGAGCUCAGCCCAUCAGAAGACACAAACUGGAGAUAAAUUCUGUGUUUUUAAUGAACAUACAAAUGCCUUCUACAAGAAAUUAGACCUUCCGACACAUCAGAGAACUCACACAGAAGAGAAAUUCUACCAGUGUGGUAAAUAUGGGAAAUCCUUCCAUCAAAACUCAGCCCUGGAUCUACUUCAGCAAAGUGGUACAGGACAGAAAUCAUUUGAAUGUAAUGGAUGCAGGAAAUUCUUUUACCAGAAAGCACACCUCAUUCAGCAUCAGAGGAUCUGCUCGGGGGAGAAAGCUUAUGAAUGUGAGGAAUGUGGAAGAUCCUUUUCUCCAAAUUCACACUCUGUUCAUUGUCCUGGAACCCAUAUGGGGGUCAGUCUCUGUGAAUGUAAAGAAUGUGGGAAAACUUUCUUCAAGACAUCCCAUCUCAGAGCACAUCAGAGAAUUCACCCAGGCGAAAAACCCUAUGACUGUAUUGAAUGUGGGAAAACUUUCUCUCAUAAGACUCAUCUCAGCGCACAUCACAGAAUUCAUACCGGGGAGAAACCUUAUGAAUGUCACGAGUGUGGGAAAGCUUUUGCCAAUACUUCAACCCUCAGAGCACAUCAGAGAACUCACACAGGGGAAAAACCCUAUGAGUGUAAUGAAUGUGGGAGGUCUUUUGCUGACAAUUCAACCCUCAGAGCACAUCGGAGAAUUCACACAGGUGAGAAACCCUAUGAAUGUAACGACUGUGAGAAAACUUUUGCCCAUAAUUCAGCCCUCAGAGUACAUCAGAGAAUUCACACUGGUGAGAAACCCUAUGAGUGUAAUGAAUGUGGAAAAGCUUUUUCCCAGAAGACACACCUCAGUACACAUCAGAGAAUUCACACAGGCAGGAAACGCUAUGAAUGUACUGAUUGUGGGAAAACCUUCUCCCAGAAAUCAUACCUCAGUGGUCAUGAGAGAAUUCACAAAGGGGAAAAACCUUAUAAAUGUAAUGAAUGUGGGAAAACUUUUGUCUAUAAGGCAGCUCUCAUAGUCCAUCAAAGAAUUCACACAGGAGAGAGACCCUAUGAAUGUAAUGAAUGUAGGAAAACUUUCUCCCAAAAGGCACACCUCAGUGCACAUCAAAGAACUCACACAGGGGAGAAACCUUAUGAAUGUAGUGAAUGUGGGAAAACUUUCUCCCAAGGAACACAUCUCACUGCACAUCAGAGAACUCACACGGGAGAAACUGUACGAACGUAACGAGCGUGGGAAAACUUUCUUCAGAAGUCGUGUUAACUGUACAUCACAAGAUUCACACGAGCGAGAAACCCUAUGAAUGUGGGAAAGCUUUUACCGAAAAUUCAGUCCUCAAUACCAAAGAAUACACAGGGGAAGAACUCUAUGAAUGUAAUUACUUUGGGGAAACUUUUGCCAAUAAUUCAGCCCUUGGAGCACAUCAGAGAAUUCAGAUGGGAGACACUCUGUGAAUGUAAUGAAUGGGAAAACUUUCUCCCAGAAGUUGCACCUUAGUGCACAUCAAAGAAUUCACAGGGGAGAAACCCUAUGAAUGUAAUGAAUGUGGGAAAGCUUUUGCCCAAAAUUCAGCCCUCAGAGUACACCAAAGAAUUCACACGGGGGAAAAACCCUAUGAAUGUGAUGCCUGUGGGAAAACUUUUGUCCGUAAGGCAGCUCUUAGAGUACAUCAUACAAGAACACACACCAGAGGGAAAGCCCUUAUGUGUAAUGAAUUUGAGAAGUCCUAAAGGAACUCAUACAUUAUUAGAUAGGUAACACAACGAAGAAGCUCAUGUCACAUAGACUGGCAUAUUUCCCUUAACUAUUUCCUUUUCCUCUGGGCCCAUAGCUUGUUUAAAUUUCCCACUCCUUCAUCCAGGUGGGGCUGGUCAUGGAAUUUGAUGCUACUACAUUUAAGCUAAGUCUGGACUUGAAAGUCACCUACAUUCUUCCUGUCCUGUGUUAUACCAGAAUGGAGAGCCUUCCACACAGACUUGGGUGCUGUAUUUUGAACAUGGUAGAGCACAAGGUGAAAGAAUUUAGAGUCUGAAUAACUGGGUGAAACAGAAUUCUCCACUAACAGAUCUUCACCAGUUGGCUUUUUUUUUAAAUUUUUUUUUUAGGCAAGAUAUCAACUUGUGCUCUGUUGAGUUCUUACAGGUUUUGGUCUGUUGAUUGAAUGCAAUAGCUUAGCCAACACUGUUAGAGUGGGAUGAAAGCCUGUGAAUAUAAUAAAUGUGAGAGGACCGAUAAGAAUUCAGCCUGUCUAUGUACAUGAGAGACUUCACAUGAGGAAGAAAACUUCUGUCAAUAUCUCGAAUAGUCAGCCUUCAUCAAAAAUCAAGAGAAAUCUCAGGGAAAACACAAGCCUUUGCUGCAAAGUGAACUUCUUUAAACAUGAAAUAAUUGAGAUGAAAAUUUUGUAUUUUUGAUAAAUGACAUUUUUUAACAAAUUCGUGUCUUGCCCAACAAUGGUAUACGUUCUAAGGAAUGCGUUGUUAGGUGAUUUUGUCAUCAUGUGAAUGUUAUGGAGUGUACACAGACUCUAGGUCGUAUAGCCUACUACACCUCUGGGCUAUGUGGUACUAAUCUUACGAGACCACCAUCGUGUAUGUGAUCUGUCACUGACUGAAACCUUGUUAUGUGGCAGGUGUCAGUACUGAGUUUGCUUCAGAGAAUUGUUUUCUGAGGAAAUGUAUCAGUUUCAGAAUUGAAGGUCAAAUCUUCACCUAGAACUGAUGUACCAAAACUUGUGUUUUACAUACAAUACCAAGGUUUGUAGAAUAUAAAAAAGAAAAUAUUUACCUAUACACAAACUCAGUGUGGAAUGGGAAGUUUUAAAGAUGGAGGAGUAACGAAUUCUGUGGACAAUACCAAUAAAUCUGACUAGCGUCUGUGCUAUAUAGUA
Molecule: RNA transcript, 4195 nt
Organism: Equus caballus (horse)
Lineage: Eukaryota; Metazoa; Chordata; Mammalia; Perissodactyla; Equidae
Gene name: zinc finger protein 658
Source: RefSeq, a predicted model, not a curated record